This 332-nucleotide ribosomal RNA is filed under the name uncultured Chloroflexota bacterium. RNAcentral describes it as "bacterial SSU rRNA". It matches the Rfam family "Bacterial small subunit ribosomal RNA", at positions 568 to 898 of the family's 1533-position model. The record is from RNAcentral. Lineage: Bacteria; Bacillati; Chloroflexota.
CGUGCAGGCGGUUCGUUAAGUCUAGGGUGAAAGCUCCCGGCUCAACUGGGAGAGGUCCUUGGAUACUGGCGGACUUGAGGGGGGUAGAGGAGAGUGGAAUUCUCGGUGUAGUGGUGAUAUGCGUAGAUAUCGAGAGGAACACCAGUGGCGAAGGCGGCUCUCUGGGCCCUACCUGACGCUGAGACGCGAAAGCGUGGGGAGCGAACCGGAUUAGAUACCCGGGUAGUCCACGCCGUAAACUAUGGACACUAGGUGUGGGGGGUAUCGACCCCUUCCGUGCCGAAGCUAACGCAAUAAGUGUCCCGCCUGGGGAGUACGGCCGCAAGGCUAAA